Molecule: small nuclear RNA, 20 nt
Filed under: Arabidopsis thaliana (thale cress)
Lineage: Eukaryota; Viridiplantae; Streptophyta; Magnoliopsida; Brassicales; Brassicaceae
Description: snRNA_16114
Source: RNAcentral
GGGCGAGAGACCGAUAGCGA